This 2681-nucleotide long non-coding RNA is filed under the name Homo sapiens (human). RNAcentral's name for it is "HSALNT0327667". Lineage: Eukaryota; Metazoa; Chordata; Mammalia; Primates; Hominidae. The record is from RNAcentral.
ACUGUAGUCGAGCUACGGCUCCUACCACCGGCGCUGGAUCUGGGCGCGCGUUAGGGGGGGAAGCUGCAGGCACAGGGCGCCGAGAGGGGAGCUUUCAAGUUACUUUGCUCCAUCCCUGCACCCGGCAGAGGCUUGCAGGCUGCGUGGUAACUGCAAACAUCUUGUUCCCUGCUUCUUUGGGCGGUCGCCCUGGAACCAACCAACUUUUCUCUCCCCCAAAACUCCCUCUUUGUUUCAAAUAGGACUCUCCAAAAUUUAUUCUUGGGAAGACUGACAGCCGGGGUCAAGAAACAGCUGUUGAAGUUAAUGUUUCUUCCUCCCACUUCGUCUGAUGGUUGUGCCCUGCCAAGACAAAGUGAGAGGCACUGCCUGGUGGCUUCUUUAAACAGACAUGCAUUUAGCCAAAAAGGGUUGGGGUGGGGGUAUAUUUUCCUGCUUAACAUACAAUCUGAUCAGAAAUGCAACAGCAUGUGCCUUUCAACUUGUGCUGAUUACUUGCUGAAAAGAUGCUGUAGCUUUUAGUUUUGAACACUUUGAGCAUUGGGGGCGGGGAUGGCGGGAGACUUAGUGGUUGACACUUUCCAUGUUUUGGUAAAGGGGCUAAAAUUUUAAACCUUCCUCCCUCUGAUCCACCUCUGGCCCUCUAAGAAAGAUAGAAUGGCCUGGGGGAGGGAGAAAAGAGUUGCAUUCCUUUGCAAGGUUUAAGUCACAUUUCAAAAUUCAAAUCAUUAUGCAGAACAAGGGCUUGCCUAGAGCUAGGCAAACUGUUUUUAUUUGGAGAUGACCUAGGCCAAACCUUGGAGAGUGCUGGAGCUCCUGGUGGCUUUCUCCACACUAGGCCUGUGUCGUCUCUCCUUUCCCAAUCCAACUCCUUUUCCCUUACUCAGAGGGCAUAUUCUAGGGGGAAGCUGCCCUGUUCUUUGUGCUGCCUUCUCCAGGUGAAGGCUGAUGUUAACACUGCUCUUCCUCCCCUUAGCGUUUUAGAGCCCCUGUGAACUGCUGAGAGGCCCCUUGGGAUUGUCCUCCAGAGUUUCCCUCUCCUAACUGAGCAUCUCCCAGGCAUCUAGCCCUCUGUCGUGGGGGUGGGUGGACGGGAACUCUAUUCCUUCCACAUCAGAGAGCUUAACCACUCUUCCAACCCACCCAUUCUCCUUUGGGAGUGCCGGGCUCAUUUGGCCUCUCUCAGAUGAAAUCAUAUGAAGACAUAAAAGGCCUUCCCUCUCCACCACCAGGUUAUCCUGUCACCACAUCGCAAUGCAGUGCCAUCACAAAGUGAUAUUGCAUCAGGCCCAAGGAUAUUUUAGGAAGCUCUCAAGCUGGGUCCAACAAGCCUUCCAUGCAGGCAUCAGGACCACACUGCCAAAUUCAAGGCUGCAGAGCUGCUGGGCAGGUGUCAGUGAUGUCCUCUCUAGUCUCAGCUAUUCUCUUCUCUAUUCUCUACUCCACCUCCCCCACCUGCAUGCCUUCCACCAGGCAGGUCCACUUUCAGACUCCCCCAAUACUCUCUUUGCCCAGCUCCCAGAGGCCACUACUUUUGCUUUUCCUCCUGUUUUCUUUGCAAAGUGUUCCAGCACACCUUCUGAUGUAUUUCCUGUUUUUCUGCCUAUCAUGGUCACUCACUGAAACCUUAAUUAAUAUUUGCUCAUAUUAACUGUAAAUCAACUAAAUUACACUUGGAGCUGCAAUGGCUGCAGCACACACAGUCUCCAAUUUGGGUGUCUGCAUGCCACAGGCCUCCCCAACUUGUUGGACUUGGGUGAACUUUUCUCAUUCCCUCAGACUCUGGAUCUCCCAGCUUGGUUGGCACAAGGGCAGCGGCCAAGAAUCCAGGCACCACCCUCAGCAAGUGCCCCUUCUCUGAGUCCUGCUAAUGCAAUCCAGCAGCCAAUUGACUUAAAUUCCUUCCGCUUUAUUGUUCUCCAUCCUCAGAGAGGCCAAUCUCAGCAUCUAGCGGGGCUGUGAGGCAGACCUCCUCUGAUCCUGGAGUUGUAAUCCCCCACUGCUGGCUCCUGCAGUUUUAUUACAGCCUCCUUUUUUUCUAAGAUUGACAGAUAUAAACCUCCAGUGUGGAGGCCUGCAACAGCACCCUUAAAGGCUUCUUUGUGUAGAAAUGUAACCUUAGGGCAAAGUCGGCCCAGCUCCAGGAAGGGCACAUUAUCCUGCUACAGGGAAGUACUGUGCUGAGACAGACCUGGAGAUUUCUUCUAAUGGCUGGGGACCUGGGAACCUCCCAGGGACAAUACCUUCUUCCUCUAAGUAGAAUAUAGGCUUGUCUAAUUUUACUGGGAGUGGGAAUGGGGGUGGGGGACAUUGAAGGGAAGGGGAUGCUGGAAGAGACCUGUAAUGACUGUUCAGGGAACUCCACAUGCAAUUGGAAGAAACAGAUAUCCUUUUUUUCAGGGAGCGGGUCUCUAAAUGCAACCACUUAUGAAGCCCCCAUGAGUGGAAGCACUGUCCGAGUCAGAGGGAGUUAGCACCAUUUGCUUCUCUUGGAGCUGAUGCUACGGUUUCCAUUCCCAAGCAGAAUGGCUUUGGAUCAUUUAGAGGAUCUGAUCUCUUUAGGCAGGUGUUGGGUUAGACACAUUAUUCCAAAAGCAAGGGUGAAAAGGUGCAGAAUCUUAAUUUACCAUGCAGGAUUAUAGUCAGAUUUAAAUCAGGUAGAAUCAUUAAGGGAUUUAGAG